This 927-nucleotide ribosomal RNA is filed under the name uncultured Mycoplasma sp. RNAcentral describes it as "bacterial SSU rRNA". It matches the Rfam family "Bacterial small subunit ribosomal RNA", at positions 89 to 1007 of the family's 1533-position model. The record is from RNAcentral. Lineage: Bacteria; Bacillati; Mycoplasmatota; Mollicutes; Mycoplasmatales; Mycoplasmataceae.
GACUUAGCGGCGAUGGGUGAGUAACACGUACUCAACGUACCUCUUAGAUUGGGAUAGCGAACGGAAACGUUCGAUAAUACCAAAUACUUAUUAGUUUCGCAUGAAACUUAUAUAAAAGGAGCCCUUAAAGCUCCGCUGAGAGAUCGGGGUGCGCAACAUUAGCUAGUUGGUGAGGUAACGGCCCACCAAGGCGAUGAUGUUUAGCGGGGUUGAGAGACUGAACCGCCACACUGGGACUGAGAUACGGCCCAGACUCCUACGGGAGGCAGCAGUAGGGAAUAUUCCACAAUGAGCGAAAGCUUGAUGGAGCGACACAGCGUGCAGGAUGAAGGUCCUAUGGAUUGUAAACUGCUGUGGUAAGGGAAGAAAAAGUCAUAGAGGAAAUGCUAUGACAUUGACGGUACCUUAUUAGAAAGCAACGGCUAACUAUGUGCCAGCAGCCGCGGUAAUACAUAGGUUGCAAGCGUUAUCCGGAAUUAUUGGGCGUAAAGCGUCUGUAGGUUGUUUGUUAAGUCUGGCGUCAAAUUUUGGGGCUCAACCCCAAACCGCGUUGGAUACUGGCAAACUAGAGUUGUGUAGAGGUUAGCGGAAUUCCUUGUGAAGCGGUGAAAUGCGUAGAUAUAAGGAAGAACACCAUUUUGGCGAAGGCGGCUAACUGGGCAUAUACUGACACUGAGAGACGAAAGCGUGGGGAGCAAACAGGAUUAGAUACCCUGGUAGUCCACGCCCUAAACGAUGAUCAUUAGCUGAUGGAGAAUUCGUCGGCGCAGCUAACGCAUUAAAUGAUCCGCCUGAGUAGUACGUUCGCAAGAAUAAAACUUAAAGGAAUUGACGGGGAUCCGCACAAGCGGUGGAGCAUGUGGUUUAAUUUGAAGAUACGCGUAGAACCUUACCCACUCUUGACAUCUUCUGCAAAGCUAUAGAGAU